This 63-nucleotide transfer RNA is filed under the name Jacobiasca formosana. RNAcentral's name for it is "tRNA-Trp". Lineage: Eukaryota; Metazoa; Arthropoda; Insecta; Hemiptera; Cicadellidae. The record is from RNAcentral.
AAGAUUUUAAGUUAAUUAAACUAAUAACCUUCAAAGUUAUAAAUAUUAUUUUAGUAAAUCUUA